This 69-nucleotide transfer RNA is filed under the name Marmota marmota marmota (Alpine marmot). It matches the Rfam family "tRNA". Rfam says of the family: Transfer RNA (tRNA) molecules are approximately 80 nucleotides in length. Their secondary structure includes four short double-helical elements and three loops (D, anti-codon, and T loops). Further hydrogen bonds mediate the characteristic L-shaped molecular structure. tRNAs have two regions of fundamental functional importance: the anti-codon, which is responsible for specific mRNA codon recognition, and the 3' end, to which the tRNAs corresponding amino acid is attached (by aminoacyl-tRNA synthetases). tRNAs cope with the degeneracy of the genetic code in two manners: having more than one tRNA (with a specific anti-codon) for a particular amino acid; and 'wobble' base-pairing, i.e. permitting non-standard base-pairing at the 3rd anti-codon position. The record is from Rfam by way of RNAcentral. Lineage: Eukaryota; Metazoa; Chordata; Mammalia; Rodentia; Sciuridae. RNAcentral also lists the same sequence under 1 other name.
GGGGUUGUAGUUAAGUGAUAAAGCACAUGCCUAGUAUGCAUGAGGCACCGGUUUCAAUCCUCUACACCU